AUGUUCUGGGUUUUUCUGGCUGUUACUUGUCAGCCAGGAGCUCACAGCCUUCAGUUUGGGGUCAGCCAGGAGCUCCUGGUAUCUCUUGGGGCAGUGAGUCAAACCCACAGCUUGACAUCCCCAUCACCCCAAACGAAGAACAGAUCAAGUACAUUUCUCCAACUGAUUUUUCCCAAGCUGUAUUUACCAGGCCUGUGGCUGAGCUCUGUGGGCUUCCUGAGAUCACUGCUGCUCCUUGGAGAGCUGUGGUUUCCUUGUUCCCAGUGUCCUCAGGCAGAUAGAGGUGUUUGGAUAAAAGGAAGCCUUUUCAGUGGUUUACCAUUUAUAUUAUUUUUUAAAAAGUUUUCCUUUUUGCCUUCUAAAUUUUCAUUAUCACUCAGUACCCUCCCAUGGUUGCUGCCAUAG
Molecule: long non-coding RNA, 405 nt
Filed under: Parus major (Great Tit)
Lineage: Eukaryota; Metazoa; Chordata; Aves; Passeriformes; Paridae
Description: lncRNA (ENSPMJG00000005280.1)
Source: RNAcentral